CUCAAAUGGAAUGAUUAAUUAAGGGGGAGAAAGAAAAUUUCAGAGGGAGAGAUCAUAUAGAACUUAAUUGUAUAAAUUCGCAUCUAAAGAUGAGACAAAGAAUACUAAAUGUAAAGUGGUAUUAAACUUUGUGCUUCAUUGAAUAUCUUUUGAAAGUUGGAUUUUCAUCUAUAUUCAUCGGUAAAUCAUUUAUUUCUAAAAAUUAAUUGAAAAGGAUUCCAUCUGUCUUAGUAUCGAAAAUUUAUCUUGGAAUCUACUUAUGAGUUCUUAUUGGGUUGCACUUUAGUGUUUCAAUCCUGAACCAAUUCAUUUUAAUUGAUUUUGAUGCUAUGAUCUUUAAAGGAGUAAAAUAAAGUCUU
Molecule: long non-coding RNA, 359 nt
Filed under: Phoenix dactylifera (date palm)
Lineage: Eukaryota; Viridiplantae; Streptophyta; Magnoliopsida; Arecales; Arecaceae
Description: long non-coding RNA (PDAC_LNC018649)
Source: RNAcentral